Molecule: ribosomal RNA, 468 nt
Filed under: uncultured bacterium
Lineage: Bacteria
Description: partial 16S ribosomal RNA
Rfam family: Bacterial small subunit ribosomal RNA
Source: RNAcentral
GACGAACGCUGGCGGCGUGCUUAACACAUGCAAGUCGAACGGAAAGGCCCUGCUUUUGUGGGGUGCUCGAGUGGCGAACGGGUGAGUAACACGUGAGUAACCUGCCCUUGACUUUGGGAUAACUUCAGGAAACUGGGGCUAAUACCGGAUAGGAGCUCCUGCUGCAUGGUGGGGGUUGGAAAGUUUCGGCGGUUGGGGAUGGACUCGCGGCUUAUCAGCUUGUUGGUGGGGUAGUGGCUUACCAAGGCUUUGACGGGUAGCCGGCCUGAGAGGGUGACCGGCCAGAGGGGGAGUGAGAAAGGGCCGAGACUCCUAGGGGGGGAAGAAGGGGGAAAUAUGGAAAAGGGGGGGGAGGCUUGAGGCGGAAGCACGGGGGGCGGGAUGGGGGCUUGGGGGUUAUAACCCGUUUUCGCCUGGGAAGAAGGGGGAGUGAAGGAAAUGGGAAAAGAAGAACCGGAUAACUACGUG